AUUGAACGCUGGCGGCAUGCCUAACACAUGCAAGUCGAACGGGUUGUAGCAAUACAACUAGUGGCGGACGGGUGAGGAAUACAUAGGAAUUUGCCUUUAGGUGGGGGAUAGUCCGGGGAAACUCGGUUUAAUACCGCAUGAUGUCGCAAGACCAAAGCAGGGGAUCGCAAGACCUUGCGCCUUUAGAGAAGCCUAUGUCGGAUUAGCUAGUUGGUAGGGUAAUGGCCUACCAAGGCGACGAUCCGUAACUGGUCUGAGAGGACGAUCAGUCACACCGGAACUGAGACACGGUCCGGACUCCUACGGGAGGCAGCAGUGGGGAAUAUUGGACAAUGGGCGAAAGCCUGAUCCAGCAAUGCCGCGUGUGUGAAGAAGGCCUUCGGGUUGUAAAGCACUUUAGGCUGGGAAGAAAAAGCUUUACCUAAUACGUGAAGCCUUGACGGUACCAGCGGAAUAAGCACCGGCUAACUCUGUGCCAGCAGCCGCCGUAA
Molecule: ribosomal RNA, 491 nt
Filed under: uncultured bacterium
Lineage: Bacteria
Description: partial 16S ribosomal RNA
Rfam family: Bacterial small subunit ribosomal RNA
Source: RNAcentral